AUUUUGAUGGCUGAAUGAUAGGCGGUAGAUUGUAAAUCUACUUAUGGGAUUCCCUCUUGCUAUG
RNAcentral lists this transfer RNA (64 nucleotides) under Smaragdinella calyculata. RNAcentral describes it as "tRNA-Tyr". The record is from RNAcentral. Lineage: Eukaryota; Metazoa; Mollusca; Gastropoda; Cephalaspidea; Smaragdinellidae.